Molecule: long non-coding RNA, 736 nt
Organism: Cucumis melo (muskmelon)
Lineage: Eukaryota; Viridiplantae; Streptophyta; Magnoliopsida; Cucurbitales; Cucurbitaceae
Exons: 3
Source: RefSeq, a predicted model, not a curated record
GAAAAGCAGAAAAGCUUGUCUUGAACCUAGGCAAUGGGCUAGGACAAAUUAUGUUCUUUUGGCUUAUCGUGUUGCUGAAUAGCGCCGAACAGAAUCAUGUUCUUUGGAUCCAACAAACCUUCCAGUCUUUGUUCCUCUUUAUGAACAAGGACCAUACAGCCGGUGUUGGGCUGCAAAUUUAAAGCAAGCUUUCAGGUAGAGCGUUGGGGACUCGAGCGCUACGGAAAGUGAUGGUGCAAGUAAUUAAAAUCUUUAGCUCUUGAACUAGUUUUUCAGAUGAGAAGAAGACCCUAUUUGGACGCUAAAGAUGAAGUAUUAGCCGCCUGCCCAUCCAUGAAAAGUAAUUUCUAACCCAUCAUUCUUGCUUUCAUGUUAUAAACCUUGAUUCUAUGGGUGUGUUUGGGGGAGGGAAAGAGUUAUGGGGGAAAAGGAUUAUGAUAAUCCUAGGAUUAUGAUAAUCCUAGUAUUAUGAUAAUAUGUGUUUGGGGGAAGAUUUAUUAUUGAUAGUGUUAUGAUAAUAUGUGUUUGGGGGAAGAAUUAUUAUUGGUAGUGUUAUUAUAAUAUGUGUUUGGGGGAAGAAUUAUUAUUGGUAGUGUUAUAAUAGUAUGUGUUUGGGAAAGGGAUUAUUAUAGUAGUGUUAUAAUAAUAUGUGUUUGGGGAAAGAAUUAUUAUAGUAGUAUUAUUAUAAUAUGUGUUUGGGGGAAAGAUUAUUAUUAUAGUAUUAUUAUAAAAUGUG